UCGAGAAUCUUCGGCAAUGGGCGCAAGCCUGACCGAGCGACGCCGCGUGCGGGAUGAAGGCCCUCGGGUUGUAAACCGCUGUCGUAGGGGAGGAAUGGCCGGUGGGUAAUCUCAUCGGUUUGACCUAUCCUAGGAGGAAGGACGGGCUAAGUUCGUGCCAGCAGCCGCGGUAAUACGAACCGUCCAAACGUUACUCGGAAUCACUGGGCUUAAAGGGUGCGUAGGCCGCGCGGAGGGUGGGAUGUGAAAUCCCCCGGCUCAACCGGGGAAUAGCGUCCCAAACCGCCGUGCUCGAGGGAGACAGAGGUGAGCGGAACUGAUGGUGGAGCGGUGAAAUGCGUUGAUAUCAUCAGGAACACCAGUGGCGAAGGCGGCUCACUGGGUCUUUCCUAACGCUGAGGCACGAAAGCUAGGGGAGCGAACGGGAUUAGAUACCCCCGUAGUCC
This 446-nucleotide ribosomal RNA is filed under the name uncultured bacterium. RNAcentral describes it as "bacterial SSU rRNA". It matches the Rfam family "Bacterial small subunit ribosomal RNA", at positions 355 to 796 of the family's 1533-position model. The record is from RNAcentral.